GCCGGCAUAGCUCAGUUGGUAGAGUAGCUGAUUUGUAAUCAGCAGGCCACGGGUUCGAAUCCUGUUGCCGGCUCCA
RNAcentral lists this transfer RNA (76 nucleotides) under Mariprofundus sp. RNAcentral describes it as "tRNA-Thr". It matches the Rfam family "tRNA". Rfam says of the family: Transfer RNA (tRNA) molecules are approximately 80 nucleotides in length. The record is from RNAcentral. Lineage: Bacteria; Pseudomonadati; Pseudomonadota; Candidatius Mariprofundia; Mariprofundales; Mariprofundaceae.